RNAcentral lists this ribosomal RNA (415 nucleotides) under uncultured bacterium. RNAcentral describes it as "bacterial SSU rRNA". It matches the Rfam family "Bacterial small subunit ribosomal RNA", at positions 355 to 786 of the family's 1533-position model. The record is from RNAcentral.
UUAGGAAUCUUGCGCAAUGGGCGAAAGCCUGACGCAGCGAUGCCGCGUGCGGGAUGAAGGCCCUCGGGUCGUAAACCGCUUUCAGCAGGGACGAUAGUGACGGUACCUGCAGAAGAAGCCCCGGCCAACUACGUGCCAGCAGCCGCGGUAAUACGUAGGGGGCGAGCGUUGUCCGGAUUUAUUGGGCGUAAAGAGCUCGUAGGCGGUUUGGUAAGUCGGGUGUGAAAUCUCCACGCUCAACGUGGAGGGGCCACUCGAUACUGCCAUGACUCGAGUCCGGUAGAGGAGUGUGGAAUUCUCGGUGUAGCGGUGAAAUGCGCAGAUAUCGGGAGGAACACCCGUAGCGAAGGCGGCACUCUGGGCCGGAACUGACGCUGAGGAGCGAAAGCGUGGGGAGCAAACAGGAUUAGAUACC